Ribosomal RNA from Thermosinus carboxydivorans Nor1, 2069 nucleotides. It matches the Rfam family "Bacterial large subunit ribosomal RNA", at positions 1 to 2056 of the family's 2925-position model. Lineage: Bacteria; Bacillati; Bacillota; Negativicutes; Selenomonadales; Sporomusaceae. The record is from Rfam.
GGUCAAGCUAGGAAGGGCAUACGGUGGAUGCCUAGGCGCCAAGAGCCGACGAAGGACGCGGUAAGCUGCGAAAAGCCACGGGGAGUCGCAAGCAGGCGUAGAUCCGUGGAUGUCCGAAUGGGGGAACCCGGCGGUGGUAAUGCACCGUCAUCCAUCGUAAGAUGGAAGGGAACCCGGGGAACUGAAACAUCUAAGUACCCGGAGGAAAAGUAAUCAAACGAGAUUCCCUAAGUAGCGGCGAGCGAAAGGGGAGGAGCCCAAACCGGUUGCGCUAUGCGCAACCGGGGUUGUGGACCAACAUAAGGACUGGCGAGGUCUAGUCGAACUACCUGGAAAGGUAGGCCGCAGAAGGUAAAAGCCCUGUAGGCGAAAGGCUGAGCCAGCCGGUUGGGAUCCAGAGUACCACGGGAUACGUGGAGUCCUGUGGGAAGCAGGGGGGACCACCCUCCAAGGCAAAAUACUCCUUGGCGACCGAUAGCGCAUAGUACCGUGAGGGAAAGGUGAAAAGCACCCCGGGAGGGGAGUGAAAGAGGACCUGAAACCGUAUGUCUACAAGCAGUCGGAGACUAUAAGUCGACGGCGUGCCUAUUGAAGAAUGAACCGGCGAGUUACAGCAGCCAGCGAGGUUAAGCAGAAAAUGCGGAGCCGAAGCGAAAGCGAGUCUGAAGAGGGCGAGAAAGUUGGCUGUUGUAGACCCGAAACCGCAGUGAUCUAUCCAUGGCCAGGGUGAAGCGCAGGUAACAAUGCGUGGAGGCCCGAACCGGUGGGCGUUGAAAAGUCCUCGGAUGAGUUGUGGAUAGGGGUGAAAUGCCAAUCGAACGCGGAGAUAGCUGGUUCUCCCCGAAAUAGCUUUAGGGCUAGCCUCAAGAAAGUGAGUGCAGGCGGUAGAGCACUGAUAGGGCUAGGGGCCGUAAGGUUACCGAACCUUGUCAAACUGCGAAUGGCUGCACUUAGAGCUUGGGAGUCAGACUACGAGUGAUAAGAUCCGUAGUCAAGAGGGAAACAGCCCAGACCAUCAGCUAAGGUCCCGAAUGCCGUGCUAAGUGGCAAAGGAUGUGGCGCUACAAAAACAACCAGGAUGUUGGCUUAGAAGCAGCCAUCAUUCAAAGAGUGCGUAAUAGCUCACUGGUCGAGUGGCGCUGCGCCGAAGAUGUCCGGGGCUAAAGCACGGAACCGAAGCUAUGGAAUUGAGAGGUGCAUCUCACCUCUCAAUUGGUAGGGGAGCGUUCUUACCGGGUAGAAGGUUUUCUGGAAGGGGAGCUGGACUGGUAAGAAGUGAGAAUGCCGGUAUGAGUAGCGAAAAGACAGGUGAGAAUCCUGUCCACCGAAAGCCUAAGGGUUCCUGAGCAACGAUCGUCGACUCAGGGUAAGUCGGGACCUAAGCCGAGGCGGAGAAGCGUAGGCGAUGGACAACGGGUAAACAUUCCCGUACCGCCCGAAGUCGUUUGAGCGAAGGAGUGACGCAGGAGGUAAGGCAAGCGCGAGGAUGGAAAGUCGCGUCUAAGCCGGUAGGGUGCAGUGCAGGCAAAUCCGCACUGCGAGAGCCUGAGAGGUGAAGGGGAGCUGAGGGGAGACCCUUGGCGAAGUUGCCUGGGCCAGACUGCCGAGAAAAGCUUCUAGCGAGACGGAGGGCGCCCGUACCGGAAACCGACACAGGUAGGCGGGGAGAGGAUCCUAAGGUGCGCGGGAGAACCCUCGUUAAGGAACUCGGCAAAAUGUCCCCGUAACUUCGGGAGAAGGGGAGCCCAAGCCCGUGAAGGCAGGAAGCGGCCGGAGCGGGAGUGGGUCGCAGAGGAGAGGCCCAAGCGACUGUUUACCACAAACACAGGUGCCUGCUAAAGCGAAAGCUGACGUAUAGGUGCUGACACCUGCCCAGUGCCGGAAGGUUAAGGAAGGGGGUUAGGGGGAAACUCCGAAGCUCACGACCGAAGCCCCGGUGAACGGCGGCCGUAACUAUAACGGUCCUAAGGUAGCGAAAUUCCUUGUCGGGUAAGUUCCGACCCGCACGAAAGUGUAACGACUUGGGCACUGUCUCAACGAGGGACCCGGUGAAAUUGAAAUACCUGUGA